GCCCAGAUGGCGGAACUGGUAUACGCGUUCGACUUAAAAUCGAAUGGAGAAAUCCGUGCGGGUUCGAUUCCCGCUCUGGGCACCA
Molecule: transfer RNA, 85 nt
Filed under: Candidatus Saccharimonadota bacterium
Lineage: Bacteria; Candidatus Saccharimonadota
Description: tRNA-Leu
Rfam family: tRNA
About the family: Transfer RNA (tRNA) molecules are approximately 80 nucleotides in length. Their secondary structure includes four short double-helical elements and three loops (D, anti-codon, and T loops). Further hydrogen bonds mediate the characteristic L-shaped molecular structure. tRNAs have two regions of fundamental functional importance: the anti-codon, which is responsible for specific mRNA codon recognition, and the 3' end, to which the tRNAs corresponding amino acid is attached (by aminoacyl-tRNA synthetases). tRNAs cope with the degeneracy of the genetic code in two manners: having more than one tRNA (with a specific anti-codon) for a particular amino acid; and 'wobble' base-pairing, i.e. permitting non-standard base-pairing at the 3rd anti-codon position.
Source: RNAcentral